GAUGAACGCUGGCGGCGUGCCUAAUACAUGCAAGUCGAGCGAACGGACGAGAAGCUUGCUUCUCUGGUGUUAGCGGCGGACGGGUGAGUAACACGUGGAUAACCUACCUAUAAGACUGGGAUAACUUCGGGAAACCGGAGCUAAUACCGGAUGAUAUUUUGAACCGCAUGGUUCAAAAGUGAAAGACGGUCUUGCUGUCACUUAUAGAUGGAUCCGCGCUGCAUUAGCUAGUUGGUAAGGUAACGGCUUACCAAGGCAACGAUGCAUAGCCGACCUGAGAGGGUGAUCGGCCACACUGGAACUGAGACACGGUCCAGACUCCUACGGGAGGCAGCAGUAGGGAAUCUUCCGCAAUGGGCGAAAGCCUGACGGAGCAACGCCGCGUGAGUGAUGAAGGUCUUCGGAUCGUAAAACUCUGUUAUUAGGGAAGAACAUAUGUGUAAGUAACUGUGCACAUCUUGAUGGUACCUAAUCAGAAAGCCACGGCUAACUACGUG
Molecule: ribosomal RNA, 497 nt
Filed under: uncultured bacterium
Lineage: Bacteria
Description: partial 16S ribosomal RNA
Rfam family: Bacterial small subunit ribosomal RNA
Source: RNAcentral